Molecule: ribosomal RNA, 368 nt
Filed under: uncultured organism
Description: bacterial SSU rRNA
Rfam family: Bacterial small subunit ribosomal RNA
Source: RNAcentral
CGGAGGGUGCAAGCGUUAUCCGGAUUCACUGGGUUUAAAGGGUGCGUAGGUGGAUUAGUAAGUCAGUGGUGAAAUCUCUGGGCUUAACUCAGAAACUGCCAUUGAUACUAUUAAUCUUGAAUACCGUGGAGGUCAGCGGAAUAUGUCAUGUAGCGGUGAAAUGCUUAGAUAUGACAUAGAACACCAAUUGCGAAGGCAGCUGGCUACACGAAUAUUGACACUGAGGCACGAAAGCGUGGGGAUCAAACAGGAUUAGAUACCCUGGUAGUCCACGCCCUAAACGAUGGAUACUCGACAUUUGCGAUAAACUGCAAGUGUCUGAGCGAAAGCAUUAAGUAUCCCACCUGGGAAGUACGAUCGCAAGAUUG